RNAcentral lists this ribosomal RNA (461 nucleotides) under uncultured bacterium. RNAcentral's name for it is "partial 16S ribosomal RNA". It matches the Rfam family "Bacterial small subunit ribosomal RNA", at positions 338 to 795 of the family's 1533-position model. The record is from RNAcentral.
CCUACGGGUGGCUGCAGUGAGGAAUAUUGGUCAAUGGGCGGGAGCCUGAACCAGCCAAGUCGCGUGAGGGAAGACGGUCCUAUGGAUUGUAAACCUCUUUUGGCGGGGAGCAAUGCCGGGCACGUGUGCCCGGAGGGAGAGUACCCGCAGAUUAAGCAUCGGUUAAUUCCGUGCCAGCAGCCGCGGUACGACGGAGGUUUCGCGCGUUACCCGGAUUUAUUGGGUUUAAAGGUAGCGUAGCUGGGUUGGUAAGUCAGUUGUGAAAGUUUGGGGCUCAACCGUAUAAUUGCAAUUGAUACUGGCAGACUGGAGUACAGACGAGGUAGGCGGAAUUAGUGGUGUAGCGGUGAAAUGCUUAGAUAUCACGAAGAACUCCGAUUGCGAAGGCAGCCUACUAAACUGCCACUGACAUUGAUGCUCGAAAGUGUGGGUAUCAAACAGGAUUAGAUACCCGGGUAGUC